This 253-nucleotide ribosomal RNA is filed under the name uncultured bacterium. Its description in RNAcentral is "partial 16S ribosomal RNA". It matches the Rfam family "Bacterial small subunit ribosomal RNA", at positions 524 to 776 of the family's 1533-position model. The record is from RNAcentral.
UACAGAGGUCCCAAGCGUUGUUCGGAUUCAUUGGGCGUAAAGGGUGCGUAGGCGGCGCGGUAAGUCUGGUGUGAAAUCUCGGAGCUUAACUCCGAAACUGCAUUCGAUACUGCCGUGCUUGAGGACUGGAGAGGAGACUGGAAUUUACAGUGUAGCGGUGAAAUGCGUAGAUAUCGUAAGGAAGACCAGUGGCGAAGGCGGGUCUCUGGACAGUUCCUGACGCUGAGGCACGAAGGCUAGGGGAGCAAACAGG